ACAACGCUUAGGAGUAUUACCUGUAUUCCCCUCACCAGAGAAACUGAGGCUGAGAAGAGAGUACCCAAAUGCCCGUCACCUGCAAUGUGCGGUGCCGCCCCGACUCCCGUCCGCCAAGAGACAGAUGCGGUGGCUCAGGCACAGGACAAAGUGAGGAUGGGAAGGAAACCGCACUGGAGGAGCAACAGAACUGGAGAGGUGGCAAAGACAAGUUCAAGCUGGGAUGAGCCACGUGAGAACGUAUACCAAGUACCCCGCGGGUCGGGAUGUGGCGUUCCCAGCCUCAGUCAUUCUUGGAUUUUUCCUUAGAACCUAACUAAUAAUUGUUAGAGGAAAACCCAGAAUUUUCACUGAAACUGCAAAUAUUCUCCACA
RNAcentral lists this long non-coding RNA (374 nucleotides) under Chinchilla lanigera (long-tailed chinchilla). RNAcentral's name for it is "lncRNA (ENSCLAG00000029172.1)". Lineage: Eukaryota; Metazoa; Chordata; Mammalia; Rodentia; Chinchillidae. The record is from RNAcentral.